This 600-nucleotide ribosomal RNA is filed under the name Alcaligenes faecalis. RNAcentral's name for it is "bacterial SSU rRNA". It matches the Rfam family "Bacterial small subunit ribosomal RNA", at positions 869 to 1475 of the family's 1533-position model. The record is from RNAcentral. Lineage: Bacteria; Pseudomonadati; Pseudomonadota; Betaproteobacteria; Burkholderiales; Alcaligenaceae.
CCGCCUGGGGAGUACGGUCGCAAGAUUAAAACUCAAAGGAAUUGACGGGGACCCGCACAAGCGGUGGAUGAUGUGGAUUAAUUCGAUGCAACGCGAAAAACCUUACCUACCCUUGACAUGUCUGGAAUGCCGAAGAGAUUUGGCAGUGCUCGCAAGAGAACCGGAACACAGGUGCUGCAUGGCUGUCGUCAGCUCGUGUCGUGAGAUGUUGGGUUAAGUCCCGCAACGAGCGCAACCCUUGUCAUUAGUUGCUACGCAAGAGCACUCUAAUGAGACUGCCGGUGACAAACCGGAGGAAGGUGGGGAUGACGUCAAGUCCUCAUGGCCCUUAUGGGUAGGGCUUCACACGUCAUACAAUGGUCGGGACAGAGGGUCGCCAACCCGCGAGGGGGAGCCAAUCUCAGAAACCCGAUCGUAGUCCGGAUCGCAGUCUGCAACUCGACUGCGUGAAGUCGGAAUCGCUAGUAAUCGCGGAUCAGAAUGUCGCGGUGAAUACGUUCCCGGGUCUUGUACACACCGCCCGUCACACCAUGGGAGUGGGUUUCACCAGAAGUAGGUAGUAACCGUAAGGAGGGCGCUUACCACGGUGGGAUUCAUGAC